This 212-nucleotide long non-coding RNA is filed under the name Malus domestica (apple). RNAcentral describes it as "long non-coding RNA (MDOM_LNC019045)". The record is from RNAcentral. Lineage: Eukaryota; Viridiplantae; Streptophyta; Magnoliopsida; Rosales; Rosaceae.
GACUACAAACUGGUUUCAUUUGUUUCUGUGUUGUUGCUUUUUGUUUACUUAAUUAGUUUUGUUUUCUGUGAAAAAAAAAAAAAAAAAAAUCGGAAAAUUUAAAAAUCCAAAAAAAUUUGUCUUGUUUUCCUUAUUGUUUUGAAUUAGAUUUUUGUUAGUUUCCCGACCCAAUGAUAUAAUUGGAUCAAAUUUGAAUCAUGAUUAUCAAGAAU